CACACUAUCAUUAACUGAAUCCAUAGGUUAAUGAGGCGAACCGGGGGAACUGAAACAUCUAAGUACCCCGAGGAAAAGAAAUCAACCGAGAUUCCCCCAGUAGCGGCGAGCGAACGGGGAGGAGCCCAGAGCCUGAAUCAGUGUGUGUGUUAGUGGAAGCGUCUGGAAAGGCGCGCGAUACAGGGUGACAGCCCCGUACACAAAAAUGCACAUGCUGUGAGCUCGAUGAGUAGGGCGGGACACGUGGUAUCCUGUCUGAAUAUGGGGGGACCAUCCUCCAAGGCUAAAUACUCCUGACUGACCGAUAGUGAACCAGUACCGUGAGGGAAAGGCGAAAAGAACCCCGGCGAGGGGAGUGAAAAAGAACCUGAAACCGUGUACGUACAAGCAGUGGGAGCACAGAGCAAUCUGUGUGACUGCGUACCUUUUGUAUAAUGGGUCAGCGACUUAUAUUCUGUAGCAAGGUUAACCGAAUAGGGGAGCCGAAGGGAAACCGAGUCUUAACCGGGCGUUAAGUUGCAGGGUAUAGACCCGAAACCCGGUGAUCUAGCCAUGGGCAGGUUGAAGGUUGGGUAACACUAACUGGAGGACCGAACCGACUAAUGUUGAAAAAUUAGCGGAUGACUUGUGGCUGGGGGUGAAAGGCCAAUCAAACCGGGAGAUAGCUGGUUCUCCCCGAAAGCUAUUUAGGUAGCGCCUCGUGAAUUCAUCUCCGGGGGUAGAGCACUGUUUCGGCAAGGGGGUCAUCCCGACUUACCAACCCGAUGCAAACUGCGAAUACCGGAGAAUGUUAUCACGGGAGACACACGGCGGGUGCUAACGUCCGUCGUGAAGAGGGAAACAACCCAGACCGCCAGCUAAGGUCCCAAAGUCAUGGUUAAGUGGGAAACGAUGUGGGAAGGCCCAGACAGCCAGGAUGUUGGCUUAGAAGCAGCCAUCAUUUAAAGAAAGCGUAAUAGCUCACUGGUCGAGUCGGCCUGCGCGGAAGAUGUAACGGGGCUAAACCAUGCACCGAAGCUGCGGCAGCGACACUGUGUGUUGUUGGGUAGGGGAGCGUUCUGUAAGCCUGUGAAGGUGUGCUGUGAGGCAUGCUGGAGGUAUCAGAAGUGCGAAUGCUGACAUAAGUAACGAUAAAGCGGGUGAAAAGCCCGCUCGCCGGAAGACCAAGGGUUCCUGUCCAACGUUAAUCGGGGCAGGGUGAGUCGACCCCUAAGGCGAGGCCGAAAGGCGUAGUCGAUGGGAAACAGGUUAAUAUUCCUGUACUUGGUGUUACUGCGAAGGGGGGACGGAGAAGGCUAUGUUGGCCGGGCGACGGUUGUCCCGGUUUAAGCGUGUAGGCUGGUUUUCCAGGCAAAUCCGGAAAAUCAAGGCUGAGGCGUGAUGACGAGGCACUACGGUGCUGAAGCAACAAAUGCCCUGCUUCCAGGAAAAGCCUCUAAGCAUCAGGUAACAUCAAAUCGUACCCCAAACCGACACAGGUGGUCAGGUAGAGAAUACCAAGGCGCUUGAGAGAACUCGGGUGAAGGAACUAGGCAAAAUGGUGCCGUAACUUCGGGAGAAGGCACGCUGAUAUGUAGGUGAAGUCCCUCGCGGAUGGAGCUGAAAUCAGUCGAAGAUACCAGCUGGCUGCAACUGUUUAUUAAAAACACAGCACUGUGCAAACACGAAAGUGGACGUAUACGGUGUGACGCCUGCCCGGUGCCGGAAGGUUAAUUGAUGGGGUCAGCGCAAGCGAAGCUCUUGAUCGAAGCCCCGGUAAACGGCGGCCGUAACUAUAACGGUCCUAAGGUAGCGAAAUUCCUUGUCGGGUAAGUUCCGACCUGCACGAAUGGCGUAAUGAUGGCCAGGCUGUCUCCACCCGAGACUCAGUGAAAUUGAACUCGCUGUGAAGAUGCAGUGUACCCGCGGCAAGACGGAAAGACCCCGUGAACCUUUACUAUAGCUUGACACUGAACAUUGAGCCUUGAUGUGUAGGAUAGGUGGGAGGCUUUGAAGUGUGGACGCCAGUCUGCAUGGAGCCGACCUUGAAAUACCACCCUUUAAUGUUUGAUGUUCUAACGUGGACCCGUGAUCCGGGUUGCGGACAGUGUCUGGUGGGUAGUUUGACUGGGGCGGUCUCCUCCUAAAGAGUAACGGAGGAGCACGAAGGUUGGCUAAUCCUGGUCGGACAUCAGGAGGUUAGUGCAAUGGCAUAAGCCAGCUUGACUGCGAGCGUGACGGCGCGAGCAGGUGCGAAAGCAGGUCAUAGUGAUCCGGUGGUUCUGAAUGGAAGGGCCAUCGCUCAACGGAUAAAAGGUACUCCGGGGAUAACAGGCUGAUACCGCCCAAGAGUUCAUAUCGACGGCGGUGUUUGGCACCUCGAUGUCGGCUCAUCACAUCCUGGGGCUGAAGUAGGUCCCAAGGGUAUGGCUGUUCGCCAUUUAAAGUGGUACGCGAGCUGGGUUUAGAACGUCGUGAGACAGUUCGGUCCCUAUCUGCCGUGGGCGCUGGAGAACUGAGGGGGGCUGCUCCUAGUACGAGAGGACCGGAGUGGACGCAUCACUGGUGUUCGGGUUGUCAUGCCAAUGGCACUGCCCGGUAGCUAAAUGCGGAAGAGAUAAGUGCUGAAAGCAUCUAAGCACGAAACUUGCCCCGAGAUGAGUUCUCCCUGACCCUUUAAGGGUCCUGAAGGAACGUUGAAGACGACGACGUUGAUAGGCCGGGUGUGUAAGCGCAGCGAUGCGUUGAGCUAACCGGUACUAAUGAACCGUGAGGCUUAACCUU
This 2763-nucleotide ribosomal RNA is filed under the name Escherichia coli. Its description in RNAcentral is "partial 23S ribosomal RNA". It matches the Rfam family "Bacterial large subunit ribosomal RNA". Lineage: Bacteria; Pseudomonadati; Pseudomonadota; Gammaproteobacteria; Enterobacterales; Enterobacteriaceae. The record is from RNAcentral.